UACGAAGGGGGCUAGCGUUGUUCGGAAUCACUGGGCGUAAAGGGCGCGUAGGCGGCUUUGUAAGUCGGGGGUGAAAGCCUGUGGCUCAACCACAGAAUUGCCUUCGAUACUGCAUGGCUUGAGACCGGAAGAGGUAAGUGGAACUGCGAGUGUAGAGGUGAAAUGCGUAGAGAUCGGCAGGAACACCCAGGGGGAAACCAGUCGACUGGGCAUCUACUGACGCUGAGGUGCGAGAGCGUGGGGAGCGAACCGG
Molecule: ribosomal RNA, 253 nt
Filed under: uncultured bacterium
Lineage: Bacteria
Description: partial 16S ribosomal RNA
Rfam family: Bacterial small subunit ribosomal RNA
Source: RNAcentral